This 255-nucleotide ribosomal RNA is filed under the name uncultured bacterium. Its description in RNAcentral is "partial 16S ribosomal RNA". It matches the Rfam family "Bacterial small subunit ribosomal RNA", at positions 524 to 776 of the family's 1533-position model. The record is from RNAcentral.
UACGUAGGGACCAAGCGUUGUUCGGAUUUACUGGGCGUAAAGGGCGCGUAGGCGGCAUGACAAGUCACUUGUGAAAUCUCCGGGCUUUAACUCGGAACGGUCAAGUGAUACUGUCGCGCUAGAGUGCGGAAGGGGCAAUCAGAAUUCUUGGUGUAGCGGUGAAAUGCGUAGAUAUCAAGAGGAAUACCUGAGGUGAAGACGGGUUGCUAGGCCGACACUGACGCUGAAGCGACGAAAGCCAGGGGAGCAAACGGG